UCCACGAGGAGACUAAGUGGCAGGCAGGCUGACUAGCUGUUAUGCAAGUGCAGCAAGGAGUGCAGCAAGUGCAGCGGAAGAUGGACAUCCAGAGUGGCAUACAAAAGGCAGUGGAGCCCCUCCCUACCUCUCUCCCCUCCUCCCCUCAACAGUCGGGUGCCCAUCAGCAGAGCGAGCCGGAGGACAGCCAGGCAGAGCAGAGCGCCAGGCCCACCGCUGACAACCACAGCAAGGACACCCAGCCAGCCGCCGGCCACCGAGACGACAAAAAAUAUUUCAGUGUGGAGUCGAUUGAUGGGACUAUGUUUCAUGAAGCCAUUAGAAGACUGUUGCUGACUGAGAGGAGACUCUGUUUCUCCACCCUCAGCCUCUCUGAUGGACUGUAUCCACCACCGUGCUACAAAUACUCAAAAUGUGAAUCUGAAGGAUGGCACCCUGAGCCUGAGAUGGUGUGGCUGGACAGUAAAAGAGUCAAUCUCAAAUGUGAAAAUUGUUCAAGGGGGCUGUCAGGAGAAACACUUUCACAUCCAAGGUUACAGAUGGAGAGACAGAGAAGUUCGUCAUAAGGUGGCUGCAGCUUGCACCAGACAGAGACGGACACAGGAAGGAGAGGACCGAACACAGCAAGGAAAGGGCAGAUAGACCCCAAGAGAAAUAGAUACAUUGACAUACACGCAUACAUACAUGGGAUAAAGGGAUGAACACUGACUCUUUGUACAUUAUCUGGAAAUAAUGGACGACUUGGUACUGCCCGAGUUUAUUAGUUCCAAGUAAUGUACAGAGCGGAGGCGUUUAUCCCGCUUAUUCCACGGUUGCCAAAGAAAACAAGACCACAUUUACUGGUAAAAAUGUACAUGUUUUCUUUGAGAUUAGAAUUUUGAUAAGUAAAUUCAUGCUAUUUCAUCCUUCCCGUUGUGCUGUCGGUUCGGUUGAUAGAGAAGCGGACUUGUUGUUCAUUCGAUUAAUUUGAUUGCUAUGCAGGCUGGCAAUGUUCUUAUCCCUUACUUGCUAGGUAGCCAACUAUGGCUAACCCAGUCGCUUCAACUAUGCACAGAAUAACAUCAAAGUAGCUGCAUUAGCGUUUUUUUUAAGCUGUUUUCUAGUGACAUUUAUUUGGAUAUGACCAUGCUACUGUACCUAAGUAGUACUUGUUGAGGGAUGACACGCACUCAAAAGUAAAUUUCAUAUAUUUAAAUAAAAAAGGUAAAAUGAGAAAA
Oncorhynchus tshawytscha (Chinook salmon) is the source of this 1217-nucleotide long non-coding RNA. The record is from Ensembl. Lineage: Eukaryota; Metazoa; Chordata; Actinopteri; Salmoniformes; Salmonidae.